This 73-nucleotide transfer RNA is filed under the name Iotaphora admirabilis. RNAcentral's name for it is "tRNA-Trp". Lineage: Eukaryota; Metazoa; Arthropoda; Insecta; Lepidoptera; Geometridae. The record is from RNAcentral.
AAGAUUUUAAGUUAAUUUAAACUAGUAAUCUUCAAAAUUAUUUAUAAAGAAAAUAAUAAUUCUUUAAAUCUUA